RNAcentral lists this ribosomal RNA (246 nucleotides) under uncultured bacterium. Its description in RNAcentral is "partial 16S ribosomal RNA". It matches the Rfam family "Bacterial small subunit ribosomal RNA", at positions 15 to 244 of the family's 1533-position model. The record is from RNAcentral.
GAUCUGGCUCAGGAUGAACGCUGGCGGCGUGCUUAACACAUGCAAGUCGAACGAAGCACUUUUACAGAUUUCUUCGGAAUGAAGUUUUAGUGACUGAGUGGCGGACGGGUGAGUAACGCGUGGGUAACCUGCCUCACACAGGGGGAUAACAGUUGGAAACGGCUGCUAAUACCGCAUAAGCGCACGGUACCGCAUGGUACAGUGUGAAAAACUCCGGUGGUGUGAGAUGGACCCGCGUCUGAUUAG